Molecule: long non-coding RNA, 426 nt
Filed under: Pan troglodytes (chimpanzee)
Lineage: Eukaryota; Metazoa; Chordata; Mammalia; Primates; Hominidae
Description: long non-coding RNA NONPTRT007157
Source: RNAcentral
GGAGAAUCUAAUUUUUAUUUCAUGUCUACCAUUCAUUUUCUCCUGUGCAAAAUCAAGGUUUGGACUUGAUGGGCUAUCUUCAAUUUUUUCUCUGGUGCUAAUGUACUGAUUCCAUAAGCAAAUUCGAGAGCCCAUGUAAACAGUAUGGUGCCUGGUACAGGGUGGGUGUUCAAUGAAUGGCAACUAUCAUUAUUAUUCACCCAGCACAUUAUGUUCCUGAAAACCAGGAACUGCUUCCUGUCUGACCCACUGCAGUGGUGGAGAGGAUCAAGGGAAAUAAUGAUCAUGGAUGUGCUUAGGAGACGUAAGAUUUUACUAAGAAUUGCUGUGAGCUGGGCACCCUUCUACGCUCUGCAGACACCAUGGCUAGUAAGACAGGCAAAGACCUGCCAUCUGGAGCUUGUUUGGAUAUAGGGUAGGGGGAUG